AUUUUAUUUAUUUAAUCACAAUCAAAUAAAUAAUGUCCUAUUACAACUACUAGUCCAAAGUUAAUGAAUUUAGUAGCAUAUAAUAUCCCCACUAUUUGUUUUCAUAAAACAAAUCAAUAUCAAAACAUUUUUCAAAAUAUUAGAGAUAUAUAUAACUACUAAUUGUAUUUAUUAUAGUCUAGUAGCGUAUGAUACUCCCACUAAUUUGUUUUGAGAA
Molecule: long non-coding RNA, 217 nt
Filed under: Malus domestica (apple)
Lineage: Eukaryota; Viridiplantae; Streptophyta; Magnoliopsida; Rosales; Rosaceae
Description: long non-coding RNA (MDOM_LNC015916)
Source: RNAcentral